Long non-coding RNA from Gavialis gangeticus (Gharial), 108 nucleotides. RefSeq lists it as uncharacterized. The transcript has 3 exons. The record is from RefSeq and is a predicted model, not a curated record. Lineage: Eukaryota; Metazoa; Chordata; Crocodylia; Gavialidae.
UGAGAGCUGGCUGGGAAAUCAAAGAGGAGGGUCACGAGGUCAAUAAGACAAAAACCCAACUCAGGCUUUCAAAAUAACAGGUUUAUUAAACAGACAACACACUACACA